UGGGGCGGGGCGAGCGGCGGCGGCUCGGCGGGUACGCCCCCUCGCCCGAGGCCCCCUCCUCUUCUCUCUUUGCUGCUGCUCUAGCUCCCUGGUCAGAGGGCCGGAGCGAGAAGAUGGCGAAGACGUACGAUUAUCUGUUCAAGCUGCUACUGAUCGGCGACUCGGGAGUGGGCAAGACCUGCCUCCUAUUCCGCUUCUCCGAGGACGCCUUCAACACCACCUUCAUCUCCACCAUCGGAAUUGAUUUUAAAAUCAGAACGAUAGAACUAGAUGGAAAGAAAAUUAAGCUUCAGAUAUGGGACACAGCAGGUCAGGAAAGAUUUCGAACCAUCACAACAGCAUACUACAGAGGAGCCAUGGGAAUUAUGCUGGUCUAUGACAUCACAAAUGAAAAGUCCUUUGACAAUAUUAAAAAUUGGAUAAGAAACAUUGAAGAGCAUGCCUCUUCAGAUGUUGAAAGAAUGAUCCUGGGUAACAAAUGUGAUAUGAAUGACAAAAGACAAGUGUCAAAAGAAAGAGGAGAGAAGUUAGCGAUUGACUAUGGGAUUAAAUUUUUGGAGACAAGUGCGAAAUCGAGUACAAAUGUAGAAGAGGCAUUUUUUAUACUUGCACGAGAUAUAAUGACAAAACUCAACAGAAAAAUGAAUGACAGCAACUCAUCGGGGGCAGGUGGGCCAGUGAAAAUUACAGAAAACAGAUCAAAGAAGACCAGUUUCUUCCGUUGUUCACUCCUUUGAUGAACUCUUUCUGAGAGACUGCAGCACACUUAGAGGACCCUUUUCUGCUUCUCUGAAAGCACAGGUCCCCCAGCCUCAGAGUCACGGCGCCCGGCUGCUGCUGAGAGCACCACUGAACCCAGACUUCUCAACACUGAAUGCCAAGUGGGUUCCAGCCUCAUGGCCUAGCAAGAUAACAGGCUCCUUUUUUCAAACAUGGAAGCAAUGAAGUGGAGACUCAUGCAGGACCUAACUUGUUUUUUCUUUGUUUUAUUGCCUGUUGCAGAAGCUGCUAUCUUUCUUUUUCACUUUGCACGUCAAUGUUAACCUUUCCCUGUUAAUAGCACAAUCUUAGACUCAUAUUUACAUGCUUUUGUCUCAUUGGGCAUUUGCAGAUGUUUAAAAAGGUAGAAUAUUUAAAGCAGAGGUUGAUACACUAAAAUUAAAGGACAUUUGGCCUGGCUCAUUUGGCCAAAUAUUACUGCAUCAAUAACAUUCAUUUAUAGACUCUGAUUUGUGAUUUUAUAAAUAAGAAACAUUAAAUUCUGAUAAAAUUUAUCUUAAAAAUCCAUAAAAAUGCCCAUCUGUUCAGCAGAGACCACAGUUUAUUUCUUCAUGUUGUUUAGAGAUUGCUUCAUUUCUGAACUUUUUGCCACAGAGUCUGGGUAGCUAAAUAAAUCACUUUUUCAAUUGAUUACCUCUGCCUAAUCUAGAGAAACUACAUUUGGAAGUCACCUUAAUCUCACCUUUUCUAGAGGUGGUAUGUGCUAUUCUUAUGUUUGAUUACUAGUUGUAAUUACUCAGUUAUCUAAAGCAUAACAUUGUUGUCUGUUUCUGACUGGACUUCUUGAGCUGAAAUUUUAAACAGGCAGGGAGAGUGCCUUUUAGGGUUUUCUUUCAGCAUCUAAUUGUCAUUCUGUCACAUCAGCACGUGUAAUAUUUUUUUUCUUAGGUUCACGCCUUUGCUUGCUGGUUUAGCUGUAAUACCCAAUUCCUGCCACAAUCUGUCGGUAAGAGUUAAUGAGUUAGAUUUAGAUUUUAGUUCCCCAAACUCUUAUCAAAAGGGAAAGAUUAACUUGAUAUGGUAAUGGUGAAAAUAAUUAUUUUUGUUCUGUUUUUAUUGGAACUUUUUUAAAAAUAAAAAAAAUUAGACCUUGUGCAGCCUCUAGGAAAAGUCUUGCCUUUUCAUUAGAGAAAAUAUGAGCAAGGUUUCAAUUUUAAAACAGCCAUUCUUGAAUGUGUAGAACCCAGUUCCAUCUGUUCAAGCUUGUUGUUAUGGAACUUGGUCCAGUCGUUUGGGCCAAAGCCAACCACAAACUUCUCUGCCUUUCUCACCAAACGCUGGUCCUGGGAUACCUUUUGUAGAUUAACUGUCACAUAAGAAAAAAAAAGGUAUUUAAUGUUAACUUGUGUGCCAAAUUCAAAUCAUGAAGUCACUGCUGUUAUUCUAGCCUUCAGUAUCAAUACACAGAAGGGAGAAAUAAAGAGGUCAUUAGGGAAGUAAAUUCUGUUAAUAAUUGUUGUCCCUGUUAGGCCUGUUUUGUUUCACAAAGGUUCCCAUUGGGCUUGAUAGUUAAGAAUGGAAGAUGAAAGUGGAAAGGGAUUGCUUGUUAGCACAGAGAAUUCUGCUUCAAAUUAAGAUGUAUCCAAGGCUUGGACCACUCAACUGUUACUGCCCAUUUGAAAACGUACACACAAUUCAGUGGUAAUAAAUACACCAGAGCUAUUUUUUAUGUAUACACUAAACUUACUGUUGAUAGAUUACAGCCUCCUUGAUUUUUUUUUUCUUUCUGCACUUACCUAUGGGCUUAAAAGCACCUGUUGGUGUUCCAGUAUAACUAGUAGUUCCUUGAUUGAAAGUUGAUUGUAUGUCUGCCAUCUUAAAAUUAGGUACAUUUCUGGAAAGAAAAAAUACUUUCUUAGAAACAUUUUCUACUCACUAAUUUUCUUAAAAAGAUCAUAGCAGUUAAGUUUUCUGGAUGGUAACAAAGUACUUUCUAAAAGGCAAGUGCUAUGACACCAUGUAUGAAUGUAAUUCUCUUAGUAAUUUACCUCUGACUAUUUGGUGUCUUAACACUUUGGUUUAUAUCUCAGGGGUUGUCUACAAACCAAAACUGACGUAUUCUGUGGUUAGCUUUUUUAAAAAACCAAUGCUUUGCUUUUGUUUUAUUCCUUCUCUCUUCUUUUGUCUUAUAUGGGUUAAUAACUAGUCUCCAUGAACUUCCCUUUGAAAGAGCCUGUAAAAGUUAGAUGAGUCCAAAGGUGUUCUUUGAAGUAGCAGCAAAUUGGGGGUAAAUGCUCUGUUAUAUAGAAAUAAAUUGUCCUUGCUAUUUUCUUACAUUUAGCUUUGCUAAAUUGUAUAUAAUUUGAGCUAAGACCAUAGGAAAUUCACUUUCUGCAUGGUAAAAUGACCCAAUAAAUCGCCCACCUUGCUUAACAAUGUACAUAUAGUGCAUUAUUUUUUCUAUUUGUAGAUGAAUUUAGUGGCAGAUAAUUGUCUGUUCCCUGCUGAAACUGAAGAAAUCUAGUUUUGUGUGAACAUUUUUUGUGGUCUUAUGGAUAAGGUACAUGAAGAUCUUUGCAGCAGUAUUAGUGGUUCGGUGGCUGCACUUUAUUAUCAGUGUGGUAAUUUUUGACAAUGAUUGGACUAGACCCUUUCAAAUAGAGUCUGAGGGUAUCAGACAGUGAAAAUGUGCUGUAACUAAGUAGCAUGUAAAACAGUUGACGUAAAAUGUUUCACUGGGAAUUUAUUUUAGCUAUACUUUAUUUCUGACAGAUUAUGGGAAAAUAAUCCACCUGGGCAUCAGUUAGGAGAUGCUGCAGGUUUAUUACUAUUUACACAAACAUUUUGUGCAGUCUUUGUUAUCAGUUUUCGGAAAACUAUAUGCUCUUUACUUUGAAGGACUAUUUUUUAAUUAUACCUCAUCUAGCUAACUAGUAUUCUAAUAACUGGUAGAAAAACAGUGAGCCAGCCUUUACGCAUCCAAUACAAUUUAGAUUGUAUGUUUUGUUUUGAACUAAAGGCAUCAUUGGGAAAAGUAGGAGGUAGUUUAGAAUCAAACAUACAUGUCAUAUCUAAUAGCUUAAAAAAAGUAUUAUCUCCCUGUCUUCAUUAAUAAAUUUAGCUGUGCAAUAUAGAUAAAUGUUUGCAGAAAUUCCUAAAUAAGGGACUAUAACUCCAUUUAACAGGUUCUGAAUGCUGAGAAUCUGUAUUAAGGCUUAUAAAGUUUUUUCCUGUGGACAGUAAGUGAUACAUUUAAGCAGACUUUCUUUUCUAGUUCAUGAUUUAGAUUAUUUAAAAUAAAUUUAAUUCUUAAUCUUUAAAGAUGAGCUUCUAAGCUUAAAUAUGAAAACAGCAUUUCAUUAUGUUGGUUUACUUAUCUCAGAUUUUAAGCACUCAUUUCUGCUAUUGGGCUUCUUAGAAUUUUUCUUUUAACAGAAAAACAUUCCUUUUUCCUUCUUAUUAUAUCCAAAGACAGGGGGAAAAAGAAUGUCUAAAAAUGAAAUUCCUUGUCCUUAGAGAGACCUAGAGGGACAGGAUAUACUAAUAAAAUUUCAAAUGCUAGCACAGUUUUAUAGUAGAAGCAGUCUUUCUUUUAGACUAAUAAAAUUAAUGGGUGUCAUGUUCACUUAUGAAAAAAAUCUUGAUGAAAUUUACAGAAAUGAUAAUUAGCAAUUAUUUUAGGGAUAUUUUCAAAUUUCACUUCAAUUUUUGGAAUGCUUGUGCCAUGUGCAAUUGCAUUUCUUAUUGCCAAGAACUAAUAGAACUUCUUGUUUCACUUUCUACCUUUUUUUAAAAUGUGAAUUAUUACACUUCAUUCCUAUGGCCUUACAGAUGGAUUUUAUUUUAUUUGUCUGUAGCUGAUGCUGCAGUUCCUUUAAUGCAAAAUACCACAUAUUUGACUAAAAUAAUGUCCCUAAUGGGAAAUACCUAGUUUUUCCAUAGAGUUAUCUGACUAUAUGUGUUUCUGCAAUUUUAUUUUUGCUCCAACAGCUUAAUGUGAAAAGCUCCUGCAGAUAAAAUGGACCUGUUAUGUGGUUAAUCUUGUUUAAGCCAAUUCAUUAACUGUGUACUGAUUCUGAUGAUGCUGUGGGUUUUUUUUUAAAAAAAGGAUUUUAUUCCAAGUGAACCUUUUUUACAAUAAUGUUCGUCUAAAAUAAAAACUACGUAGUGAAAAUA
Molecule: non-coding RNA, 4896 nt
Organism: Manis javanica (Malayan pangolin)
Lineage: Eukaryota; Metazoa; Chordata; Mammalia; Pholidota; Manidae
Source: RefSeq, a predicted model, not a curated record